GAGUGAGGUCUAUUUUUUGCCAAAUUAUAAUAUAUCAUUCAAAUUUCUUGGCAUUGAAAAGCACUUAUUUGGAUUCCAGCUGAACCACCAUUCUACGAGGAGCUAAGUGAGGUCUAAUAUAUGUGGAUUAGGAAAGGUUUUAUCGAUUUCUUCGGUUCAAAAAGCACUUAUUUCAAUACCAGGACUUGGCUUUUUUCAAAUCUCGAGAAAAGUGCUGGUGAGAGAAAGAAGUAAACUCUCCAGAAUUUCGAAAUCAUAUGUCCUUCCUUUAUGAUGCUGAUGGUUUAGAUAUUAUGGGAAUGUUCAUGCAAGCAUGAAAGAAAAGUUGUACAGUGUAUAGAUGGCAUUGUUAAAUGGUUUGAUUUGUCACACCUGACUACAGAAACAAGGCUCAGCUACAUUUGAUACAUCACAGAUACAUGCAUUUCGUGGUUAUAGGGAGCCCUUUUCUUCAAAGCAAAAGAAGUGAGCUUAUUGGUGACAUCUGGCAGAAUACAGAAUGUAAACAAAAAAAAAACUAAUAAAUGUGAAUAAAUGCAGCGGC
Long non-coding RNA from Uloborus diversus, 544 nucleotides. RefSeq lists it as uncharacterized. The record is from RefSeq and is a predicted model, not a curated record. The transcript is spliced from 4 exons. NCBI's taxonomy places the organism in Eukaryota, Metazoa, Arthropoda, Arachnida, Araneae, Uloboridae.